RNAcentral lists this ribosomal RNA (680 nucleotides) under uncultured archaeon. RNAcentral describes it as "bacterial SSU rRNA". It matches the Rfam family "Archaeal small subunit ribosomal RNA", at positions 90 to 754 of the family's 1478-position model. The record is from RNAcentral.
GCUAGAACACGUUGUCAAUCUAACCUUAGGAUGGGAAUAACCCCGGGAAACUGGGGCUAAUACCUGAUAGGCGAAAUAUUCUGGAAUGAUUUUUCACUUAAAGGGUUUUUGGAACAUGCUCCUUUAACUGCCUAAGGAUGAGACUGCGUCCGAUCAGGUUGUUGGUGGGGUAACGGCCUACCAAGCCUAUAACCGGUACGGGCCCUGAGAGGGGGAGCCCGGAGAUGGGAACUGAGACAAGGUCCCAGACCCUACGGGGUGCAGCAGUUGCGAAAACUCUACAAUGCACGAAAGUGUGAUAGGGUUAUCCCGGGUGCCGUCCGAUGAGGAUGGCUUUUCCUUGGUGUAAGGAGCCGGGGGAAUAAAAGGGGGGCAAGACUGGUGUCAGCCGCCGCGGUAAUACCAGCCCCUUGAGUGGUAGGGAUGAUUAUUUGGCCUAAAACGUCUGUAGCCUGCUUGGCAAGUCUUUCGUUAAAUCCGGUGACUCAAUCAUCGGUCUGCGAGAGAUACUACUAGGCUUGAGGACGGGAGAGGUCGACGGUAUUCCGGGGGUAGGGGUAAAAUCCUAUAAUCCUCGGAGGACCACCAGUAGCGAACGCGGUCGACUAGAACGUGCCUGACGGUGAUGGACGAAAGCUGGGGGAGCAAACCGGAUUAGACACCCGGGUAGUCCCAGCCGU